Molecule: long non-coding RNA, 901 nt
Organism: Biomphalaria glabrata
Lineage: Eukaryota; Metazoa; Mollusca; Gastropoda; Planorbidae
Exons: 4
Source: RefSeq, a predicted model, not a curated record
AUACUAUAGGCGAUAGGUCAUUUAGAUUAAAUAAUUCUAGAUCUAGUAACUAGUUAUAGUCAUAGACCUAUAGUAUAGACUUAUAAUCUUAUAAUAUAGAUAUUUACUUUGUAGAGACUAAUGUACAAUAUUAGGCCUACACUCCAGAUCUUGAAAAUCUAGUCUAGAGUUUAGAAUGUUUAAAUUUAUACAAAUAGAAUCUAAAUAAAAUCAAACGUUUAUAUUGGUUUUAAAAUCAGAUAUUGAGAUAUGUCUAGAAAAAUAUGUAUAUAUAUAGUAUAUCUAUAUUAGGGGCCUAUAUAUAAUAGACUAACGCCACUAACGGCUAACCCUAUAGCUGCUAUAGACUAUAGCCCUAUAUUGACAUUGUUUUUUUUUUUUUUAAAUGUUCCUUCAGAGUUGAAAAUAUCUACUUGGUAGUCUAAACCUCAAAGGAGCUUAGGGAAGUGAUGGCAGUUGCAGGGUAUGAACCAGACGACCAUGCAGAGACCAACGAGGCGACCAAACAGUCCAUCGUGCAUACCACAUAACCAGGUCCAGAAUGCCAGUUUUCUUUAAGGGCAGCUGACAAUAAGAAUUGUCUAUGUAUGCACUACAGAUGCUGUUCAAUAUCUUUUCAUGAGGAAGCCUGCUCAAAAAGAUCGCCACAUUUUCUUUAGGGGAAGUUGACAUUAAUCUUUUAGGUUAAUAAUAACCUAUGCAUGCAGUACAGAUGCUGUUCAUCUUUUCAUAAGCAAGCCUGCUCAAGAAGCUGCUGCAUGGAAGUCAAAAUAUGAAUUAUUGCCACCAGUCUUGAAGUCAGCUUGUAAAGAAUGCUAAGAAUUGAAUGAAAAUGCUGUCUUGAUAUCUUGUUUGUACUGUUAUAUUUGUCUUUUGUGUUGGUUAAUUAUUCCAUGAAUAA